ACAACUCUUAGCGGUGGAUACCUCGGUUCUCGCAACGAUGAAGAACGCAGCCAGCUGCGAUACGUAAUGGGAAACGCAGGCCUUCGUGAAACAUCAAGACUUUGAACGCAAGUUGCGCUCAUGGCACUUGUGCUGUGAGCAUGCCUGUUUGAGUGUCG
RNAcentral lists this ribosomal RNA (158 nucleotides) under Bangia atropurpurea. RNAcentral's name for it is "5.8S ribosomal RNA". It matches the Rfam family "5.8S ribosomal RNA". Rfam says of the family: 5.8S ribosomal RNA (5.8S rRNA) is a component of the large subunit of the eukaryotic ribosome. It is transcribed by RNA polymerase I as part of the 45S precursor that also contains 18S and 28S rRNA. Lineage: Eukaryota; Rhodophyta; Bangiophyceae; Bangiales; Bangiaceae. The record is from RNAcentral.